This is a long non-coding RNA of Carcharodon carcharias (great white shark), 415 nucleotides long. RefSeq lists it as uncharacterized. The record is from RefSeq and is a predicted model, not a curated record. The transcript has 2 exons. NCBI's taxonomy places the organism in Eukaryota, Metazoa, Chordata, Chondrichthyes, Lamniformes, Lamnidae.
CAAUUAAAAUACAGUAAUGAUGACAUCUGCAGCAUACAUGAUGAUCAAAGCAGAGAUUGCCCACACAGCUUCUGACAUGAAAACAGUGUGUUUGGCGGCGGACUGACACAGAGUAACAGAUACUGCCAGACCUGCUGACACCGCUGCAUUUUCUGUUUCUUUGCAAUGGAUUUUUUUGUCUCACCUUUGCUUCCGACUGUUUGGUGGAGACCAUUUUGUUCUUCUGUCCCGGGUUUUGUGUGUGUCACUGGCAAAUGAAAUUGUUCAGCAUGGAAAGAAAUGCACGUCACUGUUGACAUUAUGCAAAACAAUCCGGUGAUAACGGUUUGAUGGAAGUUACAUCAGGGUUUCCAUCUGUGAACAAAAGCAAAGAAAUAUUUGUCAAACUAUUUUAAUAAAGAUAACAACUAACAUA